RNAcentral lists this ribosomal RNA (441 nucleotides) under Triticum aestivum (bread wheat). RNAcentral's name for it is "partial small subunit ribosomal RNA". The record is from RNAcentral. Lineage: Eukaryota; Viridiplantae; Streptophyta; Magnoliopsida; Poales; Poaceae.
AUGUCGUCGUCGUCGUCCAAGCCGAAGAGAGCAGGUGGCCUCCAGGGCGCCAGGCCGCAGCCGCUGAGCCUGCCGUCCAAGAAACCACGCGUUGGCGGCCACGCCGGAUCAGCUGGGGCAGGGCCCGUGAUCGUCUACGAGCGCACGCCGAGGGUCGUCCACGCCGACCCGCACGACUUCAUGGCCGUCGUGCAGAGGCUCACGGGCAAGCAGCGGUCACCAGAGGCGGCGUCCGGUGCUAGGGACGGCAGGGCCUCGACGUCGACGGCCGCGGACGCUUUGGUGCUCACGCUUGGCCAGCAGCGGCGUGCGCCGUGUCGUCAUGAUCAUCCCGCACCUUCUGCUUCCCCGGGUACUGCAUCGUCGACAUCGCCGCUGUCCCCGAGCAGCUUCUUCCUCUCCCCGGCCACCGUGCAGGCGAUACGAGACCUCAUCAGCUGA